This 585-nucleotide ribosomal RNA is filed under the name uncultured bacterium. RNAcentral's name for it is "partial 16S ribosomal RNA". It matches the Rfam family "Bacterial small subunit ribosomal RNA", at positions 355 to 1375 of the family's 1533-position model. The record is from RNAcentral.
UGGGGAGUUUUGGACAAUGGGCGAAAGCCUGAUCCAGCAAUGCCGCGUGUGUGAAGAAGGCCUUCGGGUUGUAAAGCACUUUUGUCCGGAAAGAAAUCCUCUGGGUUAAUACCUCGGGGGGAUGACGGUACCGGAAGAAUAAGCACCGGCUAACUACGUGCCAGCAGCCGCGGUAAUACGUAGGGUGCAAGCGUUAAUCGGAAUUACUGGGCGUAAAGCGUGCGCAGGCGGUUUUGUAAGACGGAUGUGAAAUCCCCGGGCUUAACCUGGGAACUGCAUUCGUGACUGCAAGGCUAGAGUAUGGCAGAGGGGGGUAGAAUUCCACGUGUAGCAGUGAAAUGCGUAGAGAUGUGGAGGAAUACCGAUGGCGAAGGCAGCCCCCUGGGCCAAUACUGACGCUCAUGCACGAAAGCGUGGGGAGCAAACAGGAUUAGAUACCCUGGUAGUCCACGCCCUAAACGAUGUCAACUAGUUGUUGGGGAUUCAUUUCCUUAGUAACGUAGCUAACGCGUGAAGUUGACCGCCUGGGGAGUACGGUCGCAAGAUUAAAACUCAAAUGAAUUGACGGGGUCAUAGCUGUUUCCU